GUGGGGAAUAUUGGACAAUGGGCGAAAGCCUGAUCCAGCCAUGCCGCGUGUGUGAAGAAGGUCUUCGGAUUGUAAAGCACUUUAAGUUGGGAGGAAGGGCAGUAAGUUAAUACCUUGCUGUUUUGACGUUACCAACAGAAUAAGCACCGGCUAACUUCGUGCCAGCAGCCGCGGUAAUACGAAGGGUGCAAGCGUUAAUCGGAAUUACUGGGCGUAAAGCGCGCGUAGGUGGUUUUGUAAGUUGGAGGUGAAAUCCCCGGGCUCAACCUGGGAACUGCCUAAAAAAAUGAAUGACUAGAGUACGGUAGAGGGUAGUGGAAUUUCCUGUGUAGAGGUGAAAUGCGUAGAUAUAGGAAGGAACACCAGUGGCGAAGGCGACUACCUGGACUGAUACUGACACUGAGGUGCGAAAGCGUGGGGAGCAAACAGGAUUAGAAACCCUAGUAGUCC
Molecule: ribosomal RNA, 450 nt
Filed under: uncultured bacterium
Lineage: Bacteria
Description: partial 16S ribosomal RNA
Rfam family: Bacterial small subunit ribosomal RNA
Source: RNAcentral